AGAGUUUGAUCCUGGCUCAGAAACGUACGCUGGCGGCACGCCUAACACAUGCAAGUCGAACGAAGUAGCAAUACUUAGUGGCAGACGGGUGAGUAACAUGUAGGUAUCUGCCCUUUGGCCUGGAAUAACACGAGGAAACUUGUGCUAAUACCGGAUAAGUCUUUACGGAGAAAGCUUUAUGCACCAUUGGAUGAGCCUGCACUUGAUUAGUUUGUUGGUAGGGUAAUGGCCUACCAAGGCAACGAUCAGUAGCUGGUCUGAGAGGAUGAUCACGCCACACUGGGACUGAGACACGGCCCAGACUCCUACGGGAGGCAGCAGUGGGGAAUAUUGGACAAUGGGGGCACCUGAUCAGCAAUGCCGCGUGUGUGAUGAAGGCCUUAGGGUUGUAAAGCACUUUCACUGGUGAAGAUGAUGACGGUAACCAGAGAAGAAGCCCCGGCUAACUUCGUGCCAGCAGCCGCGGUAAUACGAAGGGACCUAGCGUAGUUCGGAAUUACUGGGCGUAAAGCGCGCGUAGGCGGUUAUGUAAGUUAAUUGUGAAAGCCCAAAGCUCAACUUUGGAACUGCAAUUAAAACUAUUUAGCUAGAGUUUGAUAGAGGAAAGCGGAAUACAUAGUGUAGAGGUGAAAUUCGUAGAUAUUAUGUAGAACACCAGUUGCGAAGGCGGCUUUCUGGAUCAUUACUGACGCUGAGGUGCGAAAGUAUGGGUAGCGAAGAGGAUUAGAUACCCUCGUAGUCCAUACUGUAAACAAUGAUUGUUAGAUGUAAGAAAUUUAUUUUUUGUAUCACAACUAACGCGUUAAACAAUCCGCCUGGGGAGUACGACCGCAAGGUUAAAACUCAAAUGAAUUGACGGGGACCCGCACAAGCGGUGGAGCAUGUGGUUUAAUUCGAAGCAACGCGCAGAACCUUACCAACACUUGACAUGUUCGUCGCGAGAAUAAGAAAUUAUUCGUUUCGUUCGGCCGGACGAAACACAGGUGCUGCAUGGCUGUCGUCAGCUCGUGUCGUGAGAUGUUGGGUUAAGUCCCGCAACGAGCGCAACCCUUACUUUUAGUUGCCAGCAGGUUAAGCUGGGCACUCUAAUAGGACUGCCUGUGAUAAGCAGGAGGAAGGUGGGGAUGACGUCAAGUCCUCAUGGCCCUUACGUGUUGGGCUACACACGUGCUACAAUGGUAUCUACAACAGGAAGCAAGACUGCGAGGUCAAGCAAAUCCUUAAAAGAUACCUCAGUUCGGAUUGCACUCUGCAACUCGAGUGCAUGAAGCUGGAAUUACUAGUAAUCGUGGAUCAGCGUGCCACGGUGAAUGCGUUCCCGGGUCUUGUACACACCGCCCGUCACACCAUGGGAGUUGGUUCUACCUUAAGGCAAGGUUUUAAACCCUUGACCACGGUAUAGUCAGCGACUGGGGUGAAGUCGUAACAAGGUAGCC
This 1436-nucleotide ribosomal RNA is filed under the name uncultured Alphaproteobacteria bacterium. RNAcentral's name for it is "uncultured alpha proteobacterium 16S ribosomal RNA". It matches the Rfam family "Bacterial small subunit ribosomal RNA". The record is from RNAcentral. Lineage: Bacteria; Pseudomonadati; Pseudomonadota; Alphaproteobacteria.